This 448-nucleotide ribosomal RNA is filed under the name uncultured bacterium. RNAcentral describes it as "bacterial SSU rRNA". It matches the Rfam family "Bacterial small subunit ribosomal RNA", at positions 29 to 524 of the family's 1533-position model. The record is from RNAcentral.
AGCGAACGCUGGCGGCAGGCCUAAUACAUGCAAGUCGAACGCACCGCAAGGUGAGUGGCAGACGGGUGAGUAACGCGUGGGAACCUUCCUAGUAGUACGGAAUAACUCCGGGAAACCGGUGCUAAUACCGUAUAAGCCCUCCGGGGGAAAGAUUUAUCGCUACUAGAUGGGCCCGCGUCGGAUUAGCUUGUUGGUGAGGUAAUGGCUCACCAAGGCUUCGAUCCGUAGCUGGUCUGAGAGGAUGAUCAGCCACACUGGGACUGAGACACGGCCCAGACUCCUACGGGAGGCAGCAGUAGGGAAUAUUGGACAAUGGGCGAAAGCCUGAUCCAGCCAUGCCGCGUGAGUGAAGAAGGCCUUAGGGUUGUAAAGCUCUUUUGGCGGGGAAGAUAAUGACGGUACCCGCAGAAUAAGCUCCGGCUAACUUCGUGCCAGCCGCCGCCGUAAC